CGAUGUCACUAAUCGACCUGUAGCAAAGAAUCAAAGGGGUCGGGGUGCCCAACAGCAGCAGGGGCGAGCUGUAGCCCAUGCAACUACAGGCAGGCAGGCCGAUGCACCUGACGCGGUUGUUACAGGUACGUGAGGCGUCGAGUCAAGAGAGGGCGCGUCGAUCGAUGUGGGUUGUCACAGAGGAAGCGUGUCCCGGGGCGUCAGUCUAGUUUACUAAAUAGUACACUUUGUCUCACAUGUUCCUUUCCUUGUUUUUCUUUUACCUAGGCACUUAUGUCCUUCUAAUAAAGAUAUGUUUUUCUUUUGAAACAAAUGAUUUCCUUGAAUUUCUCGUUUAUGCAUUACAUGUCAUACAAUGUUA
Long non-coding RNA from Cucurbita moschata (crookneck pumpkin), 361 nucleotides. RefSeq lists it as uncharacterized. Lineage: Eukaryota; Viridiplantae; Streptophyta; Magnoliopsida; Cucurbitales; Cucurbitaceae. The transcript is spliced from 2 exons. The record is from RefSeq and is a predicted model, not a curated record.